RNAcentral lists this ribosomal RNA (445 nucleotides) under uncultured bacterium. RNAcentral's name for it is "partial 16S ribosomal RNA". It matches the Rfam family "Bacterial small subunit ribosomal RNA", at positions 354 to 796 of the family's 1533-position model. The record is from RNAcentral.
GUGAGGAAUAUUGGACAAUGGGCGCAAGCCUGAUCCAGCCAUGCCGCGUGCAGGAAGACGCAUCUAUGGUGUGUAAACUGCUUUUGUACGGGAAGAAACACUCCCUCGUGAGGGAGCUUGACGGUACCGUAAGAAUAAGGAUCGGCUAACUCCGUGCCAGCAGCCGCGGUAAUACGGAGGAUCCAAUCGUUAUCCGGAAUCAUUGGGUUUAAAGGGUCCGUAUGCGGUUUAAUAAGUCAGUGGUGAAAGCCCAUCGCUCAACGAUGGAACGGCCAUUGAUACUGUUAGACUUGAAUUACAAGGAAGUAACUAGAAUAUGUAGUGUAGCGGUGAAAUGCUUAGAUAUUACAUGGAAUACCAAUUGCGAAGGCAGGUUACUACUUGUGGAUUGACGCUGAUGGACGAAAGCGUGGGGAGCGAACAGGAUUAGAAACCCGUGUAGUCC